CCAUAGCUCAGCUGGAUAGAGCAUCAGACUUCGAAUCUGAGUGUCAUGAGUUCAAAUCUUAUUGGG
Molecule: transfer RNA, 66 nt
Filed under: human gut metagenome
Rfam family: tRNA
About the family: Transfer RNA (tRNA) molecules are approximately 80 nucleotides in length. Their secondary structure includes four short double-helical elements and three loops (D, anti-codon, and T loops). Further hydrogen bonds mediate the characteristic L-shaped molecular structure. tRNAs have two regions of fundamental functional importance: the anti-codon, which is responsible for specific mRNA codon recognition, and the 3' end, to which the tRNAs corresponding amino acid is attached (by aminoacyl-tRNA synthetases). tRNAs cope with the degeneracy of the genetic code in two manners: having more than one tRNA (with a specific anti-codon) for a particular amino acid; and 'wobble' base-pairing, i.e. permitting non-standard base-pairing at the 3rd anti-codon position.
Source: RNAcentral